Small nuclear RNA from Erinaceus europaeus (western European hedgehog), 104 nucleotides. NCBI's taxonomy places the organism in Eukaryota, Metazoa, Chordata, Mammalia, Eulipotyphla, Erinaceidae. The record is from Ensembl.
GUGCUCGCUUCGGCAGCAUAUAUGCUAAAAUUGGAACGAUACAGAGAUUAGCAUGGUCCCUGCGCAAGGAUGGUACGCAAAUUCGUGAAGCGUUCCAUAUAAAA